Molecule: long non-coding RNA, 940 nt
Organism: Notolabrus celidotus (New Zealand spotty)
Lineage: Eukaryota; Metazoa; Chordata; Actinopteri; Labriformes; Labridae
Exons: 2
Source: RefSeq, a predicted model, not a curated record
AAGUGAUUUUAAAAAGAAGACAUUUGCCAAGCUCUGCCAACAAACACGAACACCACGAGUGUCUGCUUCAAACCCACACAAGAAUCUGUGACGCUGAGGGCUGCAUGCACCUGAGAGAGCGACAACCAUAGCGUGUGACAGGAGAGCACAACAGAAGAUCUGCACGUCAGGGAGCUCCUGUAGAAGGUUUUAUUCAGCACAGGGACACCUGAGCCAACAUGCUCUUCCUCAGACUCGCCUAUACAUGUUUGAGUCGCCAUCUUGAACAGAUGUUAUGAACCAACACGGCUGAGAUCCAUCGUCUGUGUUUGAUCUGUGUUUGAAUUUGAGUUUCUGCAGCACAGACUCAGUUUGUGGAGUUUUAGGUGAACAAACAGACGGUACAGGGUGUUGGUAAGAAGAAUGAAAGUCUGUUUCUAUGCACACAGACUUCCUGGUUUUGCUCAGGGACAAACAUGUUUACACUCUAAACCCAUGUGUCGGAUGUCAUGUACAUGCAGGUUUCUGUGCUCAGGCGUCUGAACUGCAUCGUUCAUCAAACUAAUCAUAACAGUGAAGCUGAACGUCAUUAAUUCAAGUCUGACCACAUUUCUUUAUUUUUAUCUGUAACAUGAGCUGAGGAUGCAUGUGUGCACACUUCACAUAGGACCCAAGAAUCUCUUCAACUUUCUCUUCCACUUCUCCAGCUCUCACGUCCAGGAGUCAGAGCUCAAAGUUUCCACAAACACAGGCAAGUGUCAGAUAACCUCUGUAAUGUUAAUCUGUUACUACAGAUUAACAAAGGAUCACUCCUGAGAGACUCCAAACACUUCUCUGUCUGUUACAGGUUUAUUCUGUCAUCCUCCUGAUUUCUGCCAUGCUGUUUGUCAAAGCACUUUGUAAACUUUUGUUUUUAAAGUUGCCAUAUAAAUAAAAGUUCUUAUUAUUAUUAUGUUCUUCA